UGGGUCCGAUGCGCUGCAGGGAUUUGGGCCACGUUGAAGCGCACGUUGGCCACCCGCGUCGGCCGCCAUGCGCAGCACCGUGGGCAGCAUCUGCUUCGUCGUGAUCUCCUGACCGCACACCUCCGACAGCACGUUGAUGCAGAAGAGCGUGGUCAUGCGGUGCAGGUAGUUGGGGUCGGUGGCCAUGGCCAACACUUUGGGCACGAUGGUGCCCUGCGCCCACUCCUGCCCGAAGCGCUCCACCAGUUUGCGCAGGUUGCUCGUGGCCGCCUCGCGGAUGGCGUACACGUGGUCCACCAGCCAGGCCAUGCACAGCGAGUUCAGCUUCUCGUCA
This 334-nucleotide long non-coding RNA is filed under the name Gallus gallus (chicken). Lineage: Eukaryota; Metazoa; Chordata; Aves; Galliformes; Phasianidae. The record is from RNAcentral.